This 2938-nucleotide long non-coding RNA is filed under the name Brassica napus (rape). RNAcentral's name for it is "long non-coding RNA (BNAP_LNC008659)". Lineage: Eukaryota; Viridiplantae; Streptophyta; Magnoliopsida; Brassicales; Brassicaceae. The record is from RNAcentral.
CUGCAUCCACAAUAGAUUUUACCAAAACAUGUUUAGAAACAAAGAUGAACUAAACAAAAAAUGUAUUUUUAUUAAUUGCUGAUAUUUCUCCUACCUUCUUCUUCUCCUCAGCGGCAGGUGCAGCUGCUGCAGCACCACCACCGGCAGCAGGGGCAGCAGCUGAAACUGGGGCACCACCUCCGCCACCAGCACCGACGUUCAUGAUGAGGUCAGUAACGUUACGCUUCUCUGCCAUUUUGGCGAAUAGCAUUGGCCAGUAUGACUCGCAACUAACACCAGCGGAUUUGAUCAACGUAGCGAUCUUGUCGGCCUAACAACAUUCAUAUGAAGGAUUAGAGAUAUUAAAAUAAAACAAUUUUAACUAAGCUUUCAAUUAUCAAGCAAACAGACACAACAACUAAUACUUCAACUCGAUGUCUUUUAUUAAAAAAUUAGCUAAGAACCGAAGAUUAAGUAAAUGGAUAAUCAGAUAAAUAACAAAAAGAAAAAAAAAACACAAACCGUGAUAGAAAUACCCUCGUCCUCGAGGAUCAUAACAGCGUAGCUGCAAGCAAGCUCUCCGACCGUCGACAUUGAUUUUUCUUUCUGAAAACCAUGUAAGAACAACAGCCAAUUAAUCACCUAUUUAUCAAUAAAUAUCAAUACUCGGAAUACACAAAUUAAGACUUUAAAUCAAACUAAACAUAUGCACAUACAAUCUAACAGUGAGAGGUUCCAGGACUAAUAAAAUAGAAAUGGAGAAGCAUCGAAAGUACCUUAGACUGGGAUCGAAAAUGCUUUCGGAGAGCGGCUCAAGUGAAUUUCGCUAGGGUUUGAAGCCAAGUUAGGGAGACGCGUCGGACCUUCUCCUCUUCUAGCUCUCGUCACCGCCUCUUUAGCCACUUCCCUCACCUUCAACACAUCCAUACCGUCAACAUGAACGCCCGGCAUCCCAAACGCAGGUCCUUUCUUCCAAAUCUCAGGAUCAGAAGUCGAUCUCAAGUGAGACAUCCCAAUAGCCCACAAGUUAUUCUCCACAACGAAGAUAAUAGGCAACUUAUAAAGCGCAGCCAUGUUGAGACACUCGUAGAGCUGCCCGUUGUUACAAGUCCCGUCUCCGAAGAACGCAACAGUGACGUCAUCGCAGUCCUGUUUCAAGACCUCUCUCUUGUACUUUGAGGUGAACGCAGCACCGGUGGCCACAGGGAUGCCUUCGCCGAUGAAGGCGAACCCACCGAGCAUGUUGUGUUCUUUAGAGAACAUGUGCAUGGACCCACCUUGGCCUCUGCAGCAUCCCGUGACUUUCCCGAAGAGCUCGCUCAUGACGGCGCGAGCGGAGACGCCUUUGCUGAGGGCGUGGACGUGGUCACGGUAUGUGCUGACGACUGAAUCGGACUGUGUGAGGAGCUUGAUGAAGCCGGUGGAGACGGCUUCUUGGCCGUUGUACAAGUGGACAAAACCAAACAUCUUGCCACGGUAGUACAUUUGAGCACACAUGUCCUCGAAAGAUCUACCGAGGAUCAUGUCUUCAUACAACACUAAUCCUUCCUCUUUGGUUAUUAACUAAUUUCAAAACAAAUCAAAUAAAAAUCUUACAAUCUAGAUAACUCCAAUUUCUCAAUCAAAAGCAUAUAUAGAAAUUUAAAUAAUCUCAUAGUUAUAAUACUACAGAACUAACUCUCUCGAUAAUAAGUAUCAGUGAGUUUGGACAAUGCAUAAUACCAGGCUGUUGGUGACUUUCUUCUCCUUGACAACUUCUUGGACGCCAACGACGGGAGAUCGACGAGCGGCGUGAGCGUGGUAGAGUCUGCGAGAAGAAGGAAUGGUGAGAGAGCGGGUGGAUCCGAGGAAAGAAGAAGGAGGAGGAGCCAAUCGGAUCGGGGGAAGUAAGAGACGAUUCUCUUGAGAUCCAUGGAGAGGAAGUGUGGCGGAGAAAGACGUAGCCAUUUCGAUAUAGUUGAGACCAAUGAGAUUCAAAGAACUGAGUAAAAUAAACUGUAAGGAGAGAGAGAGGCGGAAAAAACGAGGAAGACAGGAAGAGGAUGAGUUGGAAGUGUAACAACUAACAAGAGACAGAAGUAUGUUGUUGUUUCAAUCCAUAAACCCAAAUAGAAGCGCGUUUGAUCCACUCUCCUUCUCCUCAUUAACACAUUUAAUGGACCGGGCUCACCGACAAGAACAACUAUUGUAAAGCCCAGUUACUUAUUUACAAGCCUCUCAACAAUUUUAUAUUUCUCAACAUUUAUAUUUAUUCAACCAAUUUCUUGCGAUUGGAUAAUCUUUUCUUGUGAUUCAUGAUUUAUAAAUCUCACACCAAUAUUUGGUUCAACUUAAUCAAUAAAGUAGCCGUUAUAAAAAAAAAAAAAAAUCUCACACCAAUAUUUGUUGUCAAAGAAGAAAUAUAAAGAAAAUGUCAAACUCCCGAUGGUUUUGCUCGGUAGACUUGAGAUACACUACUAACAGGGGAUUCAAGAAAACAACCAAAACUUAAGGAAACGAAGUAGCAACUAAACAAAACAUGGCGUCUCAAUUCGAUAAAACAACCAACUACGAACAAGAAAAAACAAAGCAAUUGCUUCUUGCUUAGUCGAACAAGCCGAAACCCAAAUCACCAUCACUCUCUUCUGCCACUUCUUCCUGCAUCCACAAUAGAUUUUACCAAAACAUGUUUAGAAACAAAGAUGAACUAAACAAAAAAUGUAUUUUUAUUAAUUGCUGAUAUUUCUCCUACCUUCUUCUUCUCCUCAGCGGCAGGUGCAGCUGCUGCAGCACCACCACCGGCAGCAGGGGCAGCAGCUGAAACUGGGGCACCACCUCCGCCACCAGCACCGACGUUCAUGAUGAGGUCAGUAACGUUACGCUUCUCUGCCAUUUUGGCGAAUAGCAUUGGCCAGUAUGACUCGCAACUAACACCAGCGGAUUUGAUCAACGUAGCGAUCUUGUCGGCCUAACAACAUUC